This is a non-coding RNA of Paramuricea clavata, 76 nucleotides long. NCBI's taxonomy places the organism in Eukaryota, Metazoa, Cnidaria, Anthozoa, Malacalcyonacea, Plexauridae. The record is from the annotation of a GenBank genome assembly.
GACCACGAUGGGAAUCGAACCUACGACCUUUGGGCUAGCAUUCCAAAGGUCGUAGGUUCGAUUCCCACCGUGGUCA